Molecule: ribosomal RNA, 253 nt
Filed under: uncultured bacterium
Lineage: Bacteria
Description: partial 16S ribosomal RNA
Rfam family: Bacterial small subunit ribosomal RNA
Source: RNAcentral
UACGAGUGCCUCAAGCGUUAUCCGGAAUCAUUGGGCGUAAAGGAUGUGUAGGUGGCUCUGUUAGUCUCUCGUUAAAUUCUUCGGCUUAACCGGGGACAUGCGAGGGAAACGGCAGAACUAGAGGAUGCAAGGGGUUUCUGGAACUCAUAGUGUAGCGGUGAAAUGCGUUGAUAUUAUGGGGAACACCAAAAGCGAAGGCAAGAAACUGGGGCACUCCUGACACUGAAACAUGAAAGCGUGGGUAGCGAAUGGG